Molecule: ribosomal RNA, 492 nt
Filed under: uncultured bacterium
Lineage: Bacteria
Description: partial 16S ribosomal RNA
Rfam family: Bacterial small subunit ribosomal RNA
Source: RNAcentral
AGUGAACGCUGGCGGUAGGCCUAACACAUGCAAGUCGAACGGCAGCACAGUAAGAGCUUGCUCUUACGGGAGGCGAGUGGCGGACGGGUGAGGAAUACAUCGGAAUCUACUUUUUCGUGGGGGAUAACGUAGGGAAACUUACGCUAAUACCGCAUACGACCUACGGGUGAAAGCAGAGGAUCUUCGGACCUUGCGCGAUUGAAUGAGCCGAUGUCGGAUUAGCUAGUUGGCGGGGUAAAGGCCCACCAAGGCAACGCUCCGUAGCUGGUCUGAGAGGAUGAUCAGCCACACUGGAACUGAGACACGGUCCAGACUCCUACGGGAGGCAGCAGUGGGGAAUAUUGGACAAUGGGCGCAAGCCUGAUCCAGCCAUACCGCGUGGGUGAAGAAGGCCUUCGGGUUGUAAAGCCCUUUUGUUGGGAAAGAAAAGCAGCAGGUUAAUACCCCGCUGUUCUGACGGUACCCAAAGAAUAAGCACCGGCUAACUUCGUG